GUUGAACGCUGGCGGCAGGCCUAACACAUGCAAGUCGAACGGUAGCACAGAGAGCUUGCUCUUGGGUGACGAGUGACGGACGGGUGAGUAAUGUCUGGGAAACUGCCCGAUGGAGGGGGAUAACUACUGGAAACGGUAGCUAAUACCGCAUAACGUCGCAAGACCAAAGUGGGGGACCUUCGGGCCUCACACCAUCGGAUGUGCCCAGAUGGGAUUAGCUGGUUGGUGAGGUAA
This 234-nucleotide ribosomal RNA is filed under the name uncultured bacterium. RNAcentral's name for it is "partial 16S ribosomal RNA". It matches the Rfam family "Bacterial small subunit ribosomal RNA", at positions 28 to 260 of the family's 1533-position model. The record is from RNAcentral.